This 395-nucleotide ribosomal RNA is filed under the name uncultured bacterium. RNAcentral's name for it is "bacterial SSU rRNA". It matches the Rfam family "Bacterial small subunit ribosomal RNA", at positions 958 to 1352 of the family's 1533-position model. The record is from RNAcentral.
AACGCGAAGAACCUUACCAAAUCUUGACAUCCUUUGAAAACUCUAGAGAUAGAGCCUUCCCCUUCGGGGGACAAAGUGACAGGUGGUGCAUGGUUGUCGUCAGCUCGUGUCGUGAGAUGUUGGGUUAAGUCCCGCAACGAGCGCAACCCUUAAACUUAGUUGCCAGCAUUUAGUUGGGCACUCUAGGUUGACUGCCGGUGACAAACCGGAGGAAGGUGGGGAUGACGUCAAAUCAUCAUGCCCCUUAUGAUUUGGGCUACACACGUGCUACAAUGGACAAUACAAAGGGCAGCUAAACCGCGAGGUCAUGCAAAUCCCAUAAAGUUGUUCUCAGUUCGGAUUGUAGUCUGCAACUCGACUACAUGAAGCUGGAAUCGCUAGUAAUCGUAGAUCAG